RNAcentral lists this small RNA (1692 nucleotides) under Pongo abelii (Sumatran orangutan). RNAcentral's name for it is "retained intron". The record is from RNAcentral. Lineage: Eukaryota; Metazoa; Chordata; Mammalia; Primates; Hominidae.
CAUGGAAAGCUGAUAGCUUCAUUGCACCAUGUGUGGCAUUUGGGCGCUGUUUGGCAGUGAUGACUGCCUUUCUGUUCAGUGUCUGAGUGCUAUGAAGAUUGCACACAGAGGUCCAGAUGCAUUCCGUUUUGAGAAUGUCAAUGGAUACACUAACUGCUGCUUUGGAUUUCACCGGUUGGCAGUAGUUGACCCGCUGUUUGGAAUGCAGCCAAUUCGAGUGAAGAAAUAUCCGUAUUUGUGGCUCUGUUACAAUGGUGAAAUCUACAACCAUAAGAAGAUGCAACAGCAUUUUGAAUUUGAAUACCAGACCAAAGUGGAUGGUGAGAUAAUCCUUCAUCUUUAUGACAAAGGAGGAAUUGAGCAAACAAUAUGUAUGUUGGAUGGUGUGUUUGCAUUUGUUUUACUGGAUACUGCCACUAAGAAAGUGUUCCUGGGUAGAGAUACAUAUGGAGUCAGACCUUUGUUUAAAGCAAUGACAGAAGAUGGAUUUUUGGCUGUAUGUUCAGAAGCUAAAGGUAAUAAUAAAUUUUUCUAUAGAUUUUCAUUAUUGUCUUGGUUGUAUGUUUUCUUUUAAAUUAUAUUUGAAAAUCUCUUAGAGAGCAAUCCAGAAUUUUACAAGUGACUGAUUAAGUUAUGAGUCUUUACCUUUUUUUAAAAAAAAGAGUUGUACUCUCCUUUUUAGCACUUAAAUUCUGUAAUCCUUGAAGGAUGAUUCUUUAGUGCAGUCAUUUAUUUUUUGCUGUGCUAAUAUGCUCUGCAUCUAGCUUGAUCGUAAGUGCAGUUUUAAGUUUUCCUGUGUCAUACUAUAAUCGUAGGGUUGACUCUGCAAUUAUUGCACUGUGGUACUUUGCCACCAUUAUAGCACAGCAAAUGUUAGGAUUUCUAAAACAGCUUUAUUGAUAAUUCACAUACCAUGUAAUUCACCCACUUGAAGUAUACAGUUCGGUGGUUUUUAGUAUAUUCACAGAUGUUGGUAACCAACACUCCAAUCAGUUUUAGAAUUGUUUUUCCACCUUAAAAAAAACAAAUCAAAUCCUACGCCCUUUACCUUAGUUUUUGCUGGCAGGUUCAACUAGGGUUUUUUUUUGUUUGUUUGUUUGUUUGUUUUUUUAAGAGAUGGGGUCUUGCUCAGUCGCCCAGCCCAGGCUGGAGUGCAGUGGUUUGAUCAUAGCUUAGUACAGCCUUGAACUCCUGGGCUCAAGUGAUUCUCCCACCUCAGCCUCCCUAGUAGCUAGGAGUAUAGGCAUGCACCACAACACCCUGCCUCCUGUGCCCUUUAGCUUUGAAUUCCAUCUCUCCAUAUCCAUCAUCUGCACCCCUGCAGUUGUAGCCCGGCAAUCACCAGUCUUUCUGCCUCUGAAUUCCCUAUUCUGUAUGUUUCAUAUGAAUGGGAUUAUGUAUCAUAUGGGCUUUUGUGACUGGAUUCUUUCACUUGGCAUAGUGCUUUCGAGAUUUGUCUAUGCUGUAGUAUGUAUCAGUACUUACUUCUUAUGGCCAAAUGAUAUUCCAUUACAUGGAUACACUGCAUUUUGUUUAUCCACUUGUCAGUUGAUGGACAUUUAAGACAUUAUUUACCCCUUUUGGCUAUUACGAAUAAUGCUGCUAUAAACAUUGGUGUACAAGUUUUUGUGUAGACAUUUCUCUUGGGUGUAUAUCUAGGAGUAGAAUUGCUGGGACACAUGAUAACUAUGU